GCACAAAUGGAUAGCUUAGUUGGUAGAGCAUGAGACUCGUAAUCUCAGGGUUGUGAGUUCGAGCCUCAUGUUGGGUA
Non-coding RNA from Podarcis lilfordi (Lilford's wall lizard), 77 nucleotides. The record is from the annotation of a GenBank genome assembly. NCBI's taxonomy places the organism in Eukaryota, Metazoa, Chordata, Lepidosauria, Squamata, Lacertidae.